CAGUAGCCGCGGGAAUACGUAGGGUGCAAGCGUUAAUCGGAAUUACUGGGCGUAAAGCGUGCGCAGGCGGUUCGUUAAGACAGAUGUGAAAUCCCCGGGCUUAACCUGGGAACUGCAUUUGUGACUGGCGGGCUAGAGUAUGGCAGAGGGGGGUAGAAUUCCACGUGUAGCAGUGAAAUGCGUAGAGAUGUGGAGGAAUACCGAUGGCGAAGGCAGCCCCCUGGGCCAAUACUGACGCUCAUGCACGAAAGCGUGGGGAGCAAACAGGAUUAGAUACCCCGGUAGUCCCUGUCUCUUAUAC
RNAcentral lists this ribosomal RNA (301 nucleotides) under uncultured bacterium. RNAcentral describes it as "partial 16S ribosomal RNA". It matches the Rfam family "Bacterial small subunit ribosomal RNA", at positions 509 to 807 of the family's 1533-position model. The record is from RNAcentral.